CGCGUUCGGCGAGGGCCGGAAGUAGCGGAGGGGGGCGGAGAAGAGCCUCCUGAAGGGAGGAGCCGAGAACCUGCGCAGGGGCGGCGUGGUGCCUCGGUUCUGAGGGAGAGCGCCCGACGUGGGUGGGGUCGUACAGAUCGACUCGUCCCCUAACUCGGCAGAUGCAAAGACGGGCAUCUUCAGAGGGGUGGUGUUGAGUCCUUUUUUUUCCCUUGUGAGGAAAUGCUGUCGGGAGACGCUGGCAUUGUGUCAUCAGCAUUUACGUCGUCUUAAGCUUCAGUUGCCCGAGAUCAACUGUGGUUCAGAAGCAGAUGGUCCUCCUGACGUAUCUUCUAAUGGUACAUCAGAAUACCUACAUCAUUUACCUCACUCUGUUUCAUCACACAGGCAUUUUGUCAUUUCAUGUCACCACAAAAAGGGGGAACAAAACACUUUGCAGGGCAUCGUGGCUCCAAUUUGGUGGGGAUCAAGCAGCACCUCUCACCAAGAAGAAGGGAAAGAAUGAGGUGGAUUGUGGUAGCAGGAGUGCGUAGCAUAUCUGACGUCAGCUAGCCGCCCAAAGAGCCAGAUGGAGCCCUAGCUGGCAGCAACGGGGAGCAGGGAAGCUGGCUUCUUUCAAUCAGUCAUGCUGUGGAGUGCAGUGAGGACACCUCUCCCAAAGCUGCCGGAGCUGCAAGCCUGCCCCAGCAAGAUGAGAGGGAAGUCGGGAAGGCCAGUUUAUUUUAUUUUUAGUAAUCUCUACACCGCAUGUAAAGCUCGCACUCAGAACCCUAAGAUCAAGAGUCACGUGCUCUACUGACCGAGCCAGCUGGGCGCCCCUGACUGCCUCUUUUAUUUCCUCUUGGUAAGAGAGAAGAAUGAGCUAUGGUUUUUUCCUAGGCUGAAGGCAUAUAAUACUUAAGAGUUCUCGCUAACUGGAAAGAAAAACUAGAAAAGAAAAGCCAUUUUACAUGUUAUUCUGACCGAAGAGUGAAAAUCCUCAUGCUUAUCAGUUUUUGUUAUUUUGCUUUGUUUUGUUUUAUAGCUGCUGGCUAGGUAUUACUUGAAUCCGUAUUUGUUUGACUUGAUAAUUUAUUUACUUAUCCAACAAAUAUUUGUCAAAAGUCUUCUAUGUGCCAGACACCAUUUGGUUAUUAUUGGCUUUGCUGCUUUGGUUGUUUUUUGUUUUUAGCGGUAGCUUGGGCUCUAAAUCUGUUUUCCAUCUUUCUUUCUUUCUUUCUUUCUUUCUUUCUUUCUUUUCUUUCUUUCUUUCUUUCUUUCUUUUUUUUUUUUUUUUUGGAGCUUCCAAUUAUAAAUUCAAACAAUUCUCAGAACAGAAACUUCUAUAUAACAAAUUUAAGCAAUUUUCUUGACUAAACUCUAAACCAGAUUGAUCAUAUUACUUUAGUAGGUGGAAGUUAUUUACUGAGUCUCAUUCAUUUUGAGUUAACUGACCAAUAAAAUUAAAAGCAAAAAAGAGCCUGACUUAGAGUUGACAUUUUUUUUGUUUGGUUUUGCUAAGUUAAGAUGUUAAAAAGAGGCAACUGCGACCACGAGAUUAAAAAGAAACAUUUCAGUUUCUAGAACAGAUUAGAAAGAAAAUAUUCAUAAGAAACUUAUAAUAAGAGAAAUUCUUUCAAAUUGAAUGGAAGUUUAGAGUCACAAAACAUUCUCUGUAUUAUCCUUUCUUUUUCUUUUCAUUUUGCCGUGGACUUGUAUAAACACUGUCAGGAACCAGUCCCAAUGUAUGGACUGGUAUUUGGGAGUCACCAUUUUAGGACUGGAACUUUAUUUUAUUCUGACUUGUAUUCCCAUUGUGCUAAGGCUCCAAGAAAUAAUCAUCAAAUUCAAUUGAAGUCUAUCUUUGGAGUUCAUGUGUUUUAACAAAAGCCUUAUUGUUUUGACUGAGGAGGGGGUGUGUUAUGCUGUGAAGGACACUGAUGAAGGAAAAAUGGCUUUGUACACAGUUAAGUAUUUGUAGCCCCGAUUUUACAGAUGAUGAAAGAGACACAGAAAGGUUGAGUGAGUCAAGAAAACGGACAAGAAUAGAACAAGACUCUGGACUUUGAGGACCACUUAGCCACUCAACUACACUCAGAAAUAAGAACAGAUUAACUGGCAUUGAAAAAAAUUUUUUUCUAUAAUGUUUAUUUAUUUUUGAGAGACAGAGCACGAGUGGGGGAGGGGCAGAGAGAGAGGGAGACACAGAAUCCAAAGCAGGCUCCAAGUUCCCAGCUGUUAGCACAGAGCUGGAUGUGGGGCUCAAACCCACGAACCAUGAGAUCAUGAACCGAGCCGCAGUCACUGCCCAACUGACUGAGCCACCCAGGUGCCCUAAGGUUAACUGUGAUUUUUUUUUUCACCAGCUUUGACUAAGUCAUUACCUUAAUGACCCAGUAAGACUUUUCUAGCAAAUAUGCACAGUUUUAUACCCUGGUCUCAGGCUGAAAUUCACUUUAUCUGUGUUUACACUUGGCCGUGGAAUAAAUUUACAUUUUGCUCCAGCGUGCUAGAAGAAAGUGAAUUUUUUUUUUUUCUUUUUUAAGUAGGCUUCACGCCCAGGGUAGAGCCCAGUUCAGGACUUGAACCCAUGACCCUGAGAUCAAGACCGGAGCCGAGAUCAAGAGUCAGACGCUCAACUGACUGAGCCACCUAGGCGCCCCAGGGAUUGUCAAUGUUGGCAAGAUUUUCUAAAGAUUUUGUGUAUGUCGUGUGUCCAAAGCCAUUUUUAAAUCAUCAGUGGAGUCACAGAGAAAUUUUUGCUUUGUUUAAUUUUAUUUUUUGGUGUAAAAAUACUGAGAAUCUGAGAGAGAAGCCAUAUUACACCUCAUUCAUAUUAUUGUAAGUCAUCUCAUACUAUUCUCUCUAGUCCUAAUCAUCCUGUGAGGUUAAAUUUUAUCUCACUGUUUGGAAGGAAAAAGGCAUGGCUUAGAAAGGUAAAAUUUCAAGUGAUCCUGGAGGACCACAGGGCUGUCGGUAAAUAUAGUUGUUAGGCAAUGACCACAACUCUGUAAGCCUGGCUCUAGUCAUCAAGAUGUGGUCCCUUUAAGACUUAGGAGAGGCUACCAGAGAAGACCUGAGCUGAAAACCUGGCCAAGAUCCACAGACCUUGUUGACACAACCUCACUUCUCCGGAGAGGUCCUUGAGGCUGUUUUGUGUGGCUGGGCUCCUGCCUUGCUAUGGUUUCCACUUCCUUGGCUCCUUGUGUGUCUGUUGUAGCCCUGACCCCACAUUUCCAGAACCAGACUGCUUGAUCAAAUAAGGGGUGCUUAUUCGGUUUAUGUUCAUGGUCUGUCUCACUCCCCAAGUACAUUCACCCUUUCUUUUUUAUCUAAAUUCCUCUGACACGAAUCUCAGUCCGUGUGGCCUAGCAGGCACCAGUCAUGGCUCGCUUUUGCUCAUGUCUGCUCGAGAAUCUUCUGUUGCCAUCUUGACUGUAAACCUUUCUGUUCAGUCUCACCUCUUCAAGUUCUGUUUCAAGCUGUAUAGUUUCCAGUAGUUUGGGGGUUAGAAGUGAUUAUAUAGCUUAUAUUUGUUCGCCGACAUUUAUUCAUUCGCAUCCAUUUAUUCCAAAUAUAUUCACUGGGUGUCUACUAUUAGCCACCGUGGUAGGCACUGACAAUAAAGCAGUGAACAAGACAGUCAUGGUCCCUGUUCUCAUGGAACUUAGAAUUUACCAAGAGAGAUGUUCAUUAAUGUAAUAAUCACACUAAUGAAUAUAUAAGUAUGAACUGAGACAAAUGCUCUGAAGGAAAGGAACAUGUUUUUAUGAAAUCAUAUGAAAAAGUAAUUUUACCUUGACUAGGGGUGGGAUUGGGAUCAGGAAAGGCCUCCCUU
Molecule: long non-coding RNA, 3817 nt
Organism: Acinonyx jubatus (cheetah)
Lineage: Eukaryota; Metazoa; Chordata; Mammalia; Carnivora; Felidae
Exons: 5
Source: RefSeq, a predicted model, not a curated record